Molecule: long non-coding RNA, 1172 nt
Filed under: Capsella grandiflora
Lineage: Eukaryota; Viridiplantae; Streptophyta; Magnoliopsida; Brassicales; Brassicaceae
Description: long non-coding RNA (CGRA_LNC000756)
Source: RNAcentral
CCUUUGUCUAGGAAUAUUACUGCAUAAGCCUAUGUUUCCCUCCAGUGAAUCUGCUGUUGCGUUUUCAAACGCGGGAUUUUCUGGUAGCGGACCCUCGAGUUUAUUGUUUGAUAUAUCGAUAUAUGUCAGCCCUUUCAUGCCCUGAAAACUUGUGGGAAUGAUACCGGAAAGAUUGUUGUGUGACAGGUCGAGCUUGUUAAGGCUCUGUAAGGAGCUGAGUUGUGAUGGGAUUUCUCCAUCUAGCUGGUUGUAGCUGAGAUCAAGAUGAUUUAACUGAGUAAGUUUUGUUAGUCGGGGAAUGCAUCCGUUGAACAUGUUCCUGCUCAGGUUCAUGUCAUGAAGCUUUAAAAAUGAAUCAAAGGUUUGUGGGAUCUGACUAAAAUUGUUUGAAGAUAAGUCCAGAUACUCAAGCAUGGUUAAGACACUCAACCUUGCGGGAACUCUUCCAGAUAGCUGAUUCCCAUUAAGUAGUAGCUUUGACAAACCUGUGAGUUUUCCAAUUGAUUCUGGAAGCUCACCAAUUAGGUUGUUGGUAGACAGAUCCAACUCAACUAGUUGUGUCAUGUUCCAAGUCUCUGGUGGGAUAACACCUGUGAUGUUGUUGUUUGACAUGAUCAAGGCACCUAGUUUUCGACUCUUCUCCCAGUUGCCUGAAAUCUCACCAUGGAAUUUGUUGUGACUAAGAUCAAUGAAAUCAAGAUGUGGGUAAACACCAAAAGCUUCAGAAAUAUCUCCAAUGAAUAUGUUCCCUAUGAAUCUUGCUCUAAUCAAGCUCUGACAAUUUUUCAAACUUUUUGGUAUAGGACCUUCGAGGUGAUUAUCAUCUAAUGAGAGAUAUUGAAGCUUCCCACCUUCACAAAUGUUUCCAGGCAAGAAACCAGUGAAGUUGUUUCUACCGAGUUGCAAGAUAGUCAACUUUGAAGAGUUUGAUACUCCUAGUGGAAUAAGACCAGAGAGGUGGUUAUCACUAAGGCACAACAAUUCCAGGUUGGUAAAGUUUCCAAAGGAAUUAGGAACAUAACCUAUAAGAUUGUUCUGACUUAUCGCCAACUGAAUCAUGGAUUCCAUGUUUCCUAGUUCCACGGGAAUGAAACCACUUAGAUAAUUCAUAUCAAGAUAAAGACCUGUCAAGCUCUUCAGGUUUCCUAAGGAAGAAGGAAUUGAACCCGAGA